RNAcentral lists this ribosomal RNA (222 nucleotides) under Clostridioides difficile. RNAcentral describes it as "partial 23S ribosomal RNA". It matches the Rfam family "Bacterial large subunit ribosomal RNA", at positions 1769 to 1990 of the family's 2925-position model. The record is from RNAcentral. Lineage: Bacteria; Bacillati; Bacillota; Clostridia; Peptostreptococcales; Peptostreptococcaceae.
UCAGGUGGCCGCAGAGAAUAGGCCCAAGCGACUGUUUACCAAAAACAUAGGUUUCUGCUAAGUCGCAAGACGAUGUAUAGGAGCUGACGCCUGCCCGGUGCUGGAAGGUUAAGGGGAUCUGUUAGAGCAAUCGAAGCAGUGAACUUAAGCCCCAGUAAACGGCGGCCGUAACUAUAACGGUCCUAAGGUAGCGAAAUUCCUUGUCGGGUAAGUUCCGACCCG